This 83-nucleotide transfer RNA is filed under the name subsurface metagenome. RNAcentral's name for it is "tRNA-Ser". It matches the Rfam family "tRNA". From Rfam's summary of the family: Transfer RNA (tRNA) molecules are approximately 80 nucleotides in length. Their secondary structure includes four short double-helical elements and three loops (D, anti-codon, and T loops). Further hydrogen bonds mediate the characteristic L-shaped molecular structure. tRNAs have two regions of fundamental functional importance: the anti-codon, which is responsible for specific mRNA codon recognition, and the 3' end, to which the tRNAs corresponding amino acid is attached (by aminoacyl-tRNA synthetases). tRNAs cope with the degeneracy of the genetic code in two manners: having more than one tRNA (with a specific anti-codon) for a particular amino acid; and 'wobble' base-pairing, i.e. permitting non-standard base-pairing at the 3rd anti-codon position. The record is from RNAcentral.
UGCCUCAGUCGCAUAAUGGUAUUGCGCUGGAUUGCUAAUCCAGGCCCUUCGGGGCUCGCAGGUUCGAUUCCUGCCUGAGGCGU